GGGGCUGUUCUGGUUUUGACAGCGGGUAGAAGAGGUAUGUAAGCACGCAGUGCGUUGUCGGAUAGCACUUUAAUCAUAGACGGCGAACAAUUAACUGGCGAAGAAUCUUACGCUCUCGCUGCUUGAUCGAAGUCAUAGUACAUCAGGCUUAAUUCCGACCACAGGUGUCGGAACGAGACAUCUCUCGAAUGCCAUUCCCUGAAGCGGUUCGGUAAAGAGGUGUGGGUAAAAUCGGGGAUAGUCGGCGGUGGCUGCGCAUCGACGGCGAACGUUUAGCAGAUAAGGCGACGGUUGGUGGCUUCGGUCUUGCCGCCGCACGAAAACAAAGGCGAAGAUAAGCGUGUAGAAAGCAUAUUGCUUCCUCGUUUGGACACGGGUUCGACUCCCGCCAGCUCCACU
RNAcentral lists this transfer-messenger RNA (399 nucleotides) under human gut metagenome. It matches the Rfam family "transfer-messenger RNA". From Rfam's summary of the family: Bacterial tmRNA, also known as 10Sa RNA or SsrA, is named for its dual tRNA and mRNA-like properties. Its role is to liberate the mRNA from a stalled ribosome. The record is from RNAcentral.